GACGAACGCUGGCGGCGUGCUUAACACAUGCAAGUCGAACGAUGAAGCUGGAGCUUGCUCCGGUGGAUUAGUGGCGAACGGGUGAGUAACACGUGAGCAAUCUGCCCUUGACUCUGGGAUAACUGCGGGAAACUGUAGCUAAUACCGGAUAUGAGAUCUGAAGGCAUCUUCGGGUUUGGAAAGAAUUUCGGUCAAGGAUGAGCUCGCGGCCUAUCAGCUAGUUGGUGAGGUAAUGGCUCACCAAGGCGACGACGGGUAGCCGGCCUGAGAGGGUAACCGGCCACACUGGAACUGAGACACGGUCCAGACUCCUACGGGAGGCAGCAGUGGGGAAUAUUGCACAAUGGGCGAAAGCCUGACGCAGCAACGCCGCGUGAGGGAUGAAGGCCUUCGGGUUGUAAACCUCUUUUAGCAGGGAAGAAGCGAAAGUGACGGUACCUGCAGAAAAAGCACCGGCUAACUACGUGCCAGCAGCCGCGGUAA
RNAcentral lists this ribosomal RNA (483 nucleotides) under uncultured bacterium. Its description in RNAcentral is "partial 16S ribosomal RNA". It matches the Rfam family "Bacterial small subunit ribosomal RNA", at positions 28 to 523 of the family's 1533-position model. The record is from RNAcentral.